Non-coding RNA from Ictidomys tridecemlineatus (thirteen-lined ground squirrel), 311 nucleotides. The record is from Rfam. NCBI's taxonomy places the organism in Eukaryota, Metazoa, Chordata, Mammalia, Rodentia, Sciuridae.
GGAUGUGAGGACCAUCUGGCUUUUAUACCUGUCACCCCAUUGAUCUCCAGGGUAGGUACCCCAUCGCUAGGUAGAUGUCCCCUUGUGCCCUCAACACUCCAUGUGUGUCCCUCCUGAAGCUUGUGCUCGGUAGAGGAGGAGCAAUAGAGGAGGAGCUUUCUUUGACCAAGGGUAUCCCAGUAGCUGUGCUUCCCUGAUAAAACCUCCAAACAAUCUUUCAGGGUCCAAAACUAAUAAUGAAGUUAAAAAAAAAAAAAAGGUUGUUAAAAUUAAAAAAAAAAAUCUUCUCUUACAAUGUCUAGUUUUUGAUU